CAGGAGGGGAAGGCUGGACAGGAAAAACCAUUCCCUUUUAUAAAAAGCAUGCAGGUUUUACAGCAAGUACCCUUCGCAUAGCAACCACCACUUAGCAGCCUCCACCUAGCUGAAAACAAUGGGCCUCAGUUCCUUGGACCACCUGCAUUCCAAGGCACACGCCAGGAUCCAGGUGUCCUUCACAGGUAUGGCAUAAACAUCAGGGUUGGCCAUUACUGGAACACUAAACAAACAUUCAUCAAGGAACACAGGAUCAUUCUCAAGCGUUCUAGAACACAACUACUAACUAGCUCGGCCUGGUACCACGGAUUUGUGCUACGGCACCAGGAGAGCAAAAUCAACACAGAAAAAAGCAAGAAAACUCAGAGAAAAAAUAAAACAAAUCUACAAUGAACACAUCAGUAUGUAUAUUUCUACAAACUUGUGUGAGAAGUUCUGUAAGAUCAAGUCCUAAAAGCAGAAUUGCUGGCUCAAAGGAUGAGAAAAAAAGGAAAUCACUAAGAAGUUAUGAAAUUUUCCUAUGUCAAGCAGUAAAACAGCCAACCAGAAUCUGAACCCAGGUCUUUCUUUAAAAUGUGUGGUGAGAGUGGCAAGCAGUAGGGGAAAAAAAUGAAAGAAAAAAUGCAUGAUGGCUACUACAUCAUUUGCUUGAUGCUAAGUUCCUUAAAAUUUAUUUUCUACGAGUUAAUACCAACAGGCUAAUCAAUUAUGAAUAAAUUAAUUUUCUACAUACCCAAUCCUAAAAUAGACAAGACCAAGAUGCUGUCAUGCUGAGACUCUCCAGUCAGCAGAUGCUCUACCAACAGUGAGCAGACCCCCUAAAAAUCAUUUCCUCUCACUAUUUUUGCAGCAAUAAUUUUUUUAAAAAUAGAGUCAGGGUCUUGCUAAGUUGGCCAGGCUGAUCUCGAACUCCUACCCUCAAGCAAUCCUCCCAACUUGGCCUACCUAAAUGGUGAGAUUACAAGCAUGAGCCACCACUCCUGGCCAAGAUAUUGCUUUUUAGAAUGACAUACUAAUCAGGUAUUUUGGUUAUAGCAAAAAUCUAUAAAUUUAAUGUAUUAAAGUAUAUAUGCAAACUUGUUUGGAUUUUAUUCACCAUUUACAACAUAAACUUAAAAAAGGUAAAAUAUCUCGGGCUGGGCGCAGUGGCUCACGCCUGUAAUCCCAGCACUUUGG
RNAcentral lists this long non-coding RNA (1176 nucleotides) under Homo sapiens (human). Its description in RNAcentral is "HSALNT0302019". Lineage: Eukaryota; Metazoa; Chordata; Mammalia; Primates; Hominidae. The record is from RNAcentral.